Dermatophagoides pteronyssinus (European house dust mite) is the source of this 395-nucleotide long non-coding RNA. NCBI's taxonomy places the organism in Eukaryota, Metazoa, Arthropoda, Arachnida, Sarcoptiformes, Pyroglyphidae. The record is from RefSeq and is a predicted model, not a curated record.
UUUUUUUUUGGUUGAAGAGACUUUCAACAAAAACAACAAGGGCGGGCUAAAGAAUUUCGGAUGUUUGUAUAUACAAAGAGCCCACGAUAUUGAUAUUGAUAUUUGAAAGAAAAAAAAAAGAUUUUUCUUUUUUUUUCGUAAGAGAAACAUUCAUUCAUCCUUAUGUAUAUGAAUGAAAUGGAAACAUAAGUCAUUACUUACUGAGAUGAUCAAACAAGUUGAUCUUUUUCAUCAUCAUCAAUAUCAUCCAUAUCACAUACCUAACGAGGAAUUUUUCUCAAAACAGACUAGCCCACCAUUUGGUCGUGGUCAAGUUAGUUCGUCUUUUAAAUGGCCUAUUAUUUUUCGAAUAAACAAACAAACGAAAAGUUGACGACAAUCAACAUCAGAACAUG